This 1016-nucleotide non-coding RNA is filed under the name Drosophila sechellia. RNAcentral's name for it is "Eukaryotic large subunit ribosomal RNA". It matches the Rfam family "Eukaryotic large subunit ribosomal RNA", at positions 2517 to 3401 of the family's 3401-position model. The record is from Rfam by way of RNAcentral. Lineage: Eukaryota; Metazoa; Arthropoda; Insecta; Diptera; Drosophilidae.
AUAUUUAUUAUAUCUUAUGGUAUUGGGUUUUGAUGCAAGCUUCUUGAUCAAAGUAUCACGAGUUUGUUAUAUAAUCGCAAACAAAUUCUUUAAUAAAACGAUGCAUUUAUGUAUUUUUGAUUUGAAAAUUUGGUAUAACUCCAAUUACUCAGGUAUGAUCCAAUUCAAGGACAUUGCCAGGUAGGGAGUUUGACUGGGGCGGUACAUCUCUCAAAUAAUAACGGAGGUGUCCCAAGGCCAGCUCAGUGCGGACAGAAACCACACAUAGAGCAAAAGGGCAAAUGCUGACUUGAUCUCGGUGUUCAGUACACACAGGGACAGCAAAAGCUCGGCCUAUCGAUCCUUUUGGUUUAAAGAGUUUUUAACAAGAGGUGUCAGAAAAGUUACCAUAGGGAUAACUGGCUUGUGGCGGCCAAGCGUUCAUAGCGACGUCGCUUUUUGAUCCUUCGAUGUCGGCUCUUCCUAUCAUUGUGAAGCAAAAUUCACCAAGCGUUGGAUUGUUCACCCAUGCAAGGGAACGUGAGCUGGGUUUAGACCGUCGUGAGACAGGUUAGUUUUACCCUACUAAUGACAAAACGUUGUUGCGACAGCAUUCCUGCGUAGUACGAGAGGAACCGCAGGUACGGACCAAUGGGCACAAUACUUGUUCGAGCGAACAGUGGUAUGACGCUACGUCCGUUGGAUUAUGCCUGAACGCCUCUAAGGUCGUAUCCGUGCUGGACUGCAAUGAUAAAUAAGGGGCAAUUUGCAUUGUAUGGCUUCUAAACCAUUUAAAGUUUAUAAUUUAUUUUAUAAACGACAAUGGAUGUGAUGCCAAUGUAAUUUGUAACAUAGUAAAUUAGGAGGAUCUUCGAUCACCUGAUGCCGCGCUAGUUACAUAUAAAAGCAUUAUUUAAUACAAUGACAAAGCCUAGAAUCCAUUGUAAACGACUUUUGUAACAGGCAAGGUGUUGUAAGUGGUUGAGCAGCUGCCAUACUGCGAUCCACUGAAGCUUAUCCUUUGCUUGAUGAUUCGA